UAUGGACAGCAUGGACAUGGUCAUAUUCAAGUAAAACUUUCUACCAUAGAAGCCACAACAAAUGGAACUAUCAUAAAUCUUAAUCUCACAUUAACCUGCAAUCAAAUUGCUUGUUUAAACAAUUAAAUGUGUAUGUGUCAUUUGAAAGUAGAAAAAUAGGUCUUCUCCAAUUUUAAAAAGAUGCAAUUUAAUUGGAAAAACUUCAAUAUGUUUAUAUUCAGGGAUAAGAAAUCAAAUCAGCAUGUGACAAAAUCUGAAAUCAAGCUAAAGUCUGUCAUAUAGGUUUGAAUUCAAGCACAUAACAUCAAACAGUUUAGCAUCACGUGUGAAACUGCAUAUGGACCCUCCGAAAGAAACCAAUACUUGAGACUUAAACUUGGGCCAAACAUCUAAAUACGGUUGAACCCUCCUUUACCAUCAAAUUCAGCAUAAUUCUAUCACAUAGUUGGAAAUGAUUAGCUCAAAAAAAAAAAAAGUAG
This 479-nucleotide unclassified non-coding RNA is filed under the name Hevea brasiliensis (rubber tree). Lineage: Eukaryota; Viridiplantae; Streptophyta; Magnoliopsida; Malpighiales; Euphorbiaceae. The record is from RNAcentral.